GCAUUGGUGGUUCAGUGGUAGAGUUCUUAGCUUUCAUGUAGGAGACCUGUGUUCUAUUUCCAGCCAAUGCA
This 71-nucleotide transfer RNA is filed under the name Loxodonta africana (African savanna elephant). It matches the Rfam family "tRNA". Rfam says of the family: Transfer RNA (tRNA) molecules are approximately 80 nucleotides in length. Their secondary structure includes four short double-helical elements and three loops (D, anti-codon, and T loops). Lineage: Eukaryota; Metazoa; Chordata; Mammalia; Proboscidea; Elephantidae. The record is from Rfam by way of RNAcentral.